This 21-nucleotide microRNA is filed under the name Arabidopsis lyrata. Its description in RNAcentral is "aly-miR869-5p". Its record names the gene aly-miR869-5p. The record is from miRBase by way of RNAcentral. Lineage: Eukaryota; Viridiplantae; Streptophyta; Magnoliopsida; Brassicales; Brassicaceae.
CACUUAUCUCAACCCUAGUGA